AAAACAGGUUUUCUCGGCAGUUAACUGCCGAAGUUUUCCUCGGCAGUUAACUGCCGAGGGAUAU
This 64-nucleotide microRNA precursor is filed under the name Medicago truncatula (barrel medic). Its description in RNAcentral is "MIR2629 microRNA precursor family". It matches the Rfam family "MIR2629 microRNA precursor family". The record is from Rfam by way of RNAcentral. Lineage: Eukaryota; Viridiplantae; Streptophyta; Magnoliopsida; Fabales; Fabaceae.